RNAcentral lists this ribosomal RNA (432 nucleotides) under uncultured bacterium. Its description in RNAcentral is "partial 16S ribosomal RNA". It matches the Rfam family "Bacterial small subunit ribosomal RNA", at positions 29 to 506 of the family's 1533-position model. The record is from RNAcentral.
AACGAACGCUGGCGGCAUGCCUAACACAUGCAAGUCGAACGAGACCUUCGGGUCUAGUGGCGCACGGGUGCGUAACGCGUGGGAACCUGCCCUUAGGUUCGGAAUAACUCCCCGAAAGGGGUGCUAAUACCGGAUAAUGUCUUCGGACCAAAGAUUUAUCGCCUUUGGAUGGGCCCGCGUUGGAUUAGCUAGUUGGUAGGGUAAAAGCCUACCAAGGCGACGAUCCAUAGCUGGUCUGAGAGGAUGAUCAGCCACACUGGGACUGAGACACGGCCCAGACCCCUCCGGGAGGCCGCAGGGGGGAAUAUUGGAAAAGGGGCGAAAGCCUGAUCCCGCAAUGCCGGGGGAGUGAUGAAGGCCUUGGGGUUGUAAAGCUCUUUUACCCGGGAUGAUAAGGACAGUCCCGGGAGAAAAAGCCCCGGCUAACUCCUG